Sugiyamaella lignohabitans is the source of this 72-nucleotide transfer RNA. It matches the Rfam family "tRNA". Rfam says of the family: Transfer RNA (tRNA) molecules are approximately 80 nucleotides in length. Lineage: Eukaryota; Fungi; Ascomycota; Dipodascomycetes; Dipodascales; Trichomonascaceae. The record is from Rfam.
GUCCACAUAGCUUAAAUGGUAGAGCACUAGAUUGAAGCUCUGGUUGUAUAGGUUCAAUUCCUGUUGAGGACA